RNAcentral lists this ribosomal RNA (236 nucleotides) under uncultured bacterium. RNAcentral's name for it is "partial 16S ribosomal RNA". It matches the Rfam family "Bacterial small subunit ribosomal RNA", at positions 118 to 351 of the family's 1533-position model. The record is from RNAcentral.
UGAGUAACCUGCCCUUAACUCUGGGAUAAGCCUGGGAAACUGGGUCUAAUACCGGAUAUGACUCCUCAUCGCAUGGUGGGGGGUGGAAAGCUUUAUUGUGGUUUUGGAUGGACUCGCGGCCUAUCAGCUUGUUGGUGAGGUAAUGGCUCACCAAGGCGAUGGCGGGUAGCCGGCCUGAGAGGGUGACCGGCCACACUGGGACUGAGACACGGCCCAGACCUCCGUACGGGAGGCAG